Molecule: ribosomal RNA, 456 nt
Filed under: uncultured bacterium
Lineage: Bacteria
Description: bacterial SSU rRNA
Rfam family: Bacterial small subunit ribosomal RNA
Source: RNAcentral
UACGGGAGGCAGCAGUGGGGAAUAUUGCACAAUGGGCGAAAGCCUGAUGCAGCUAUGCCGCGUGUAUGAAGAAGGCCUUAGGGUUGUAAAGUACUUUCAUCGGGGAGGAAAAAACAAAACUAAUAAUUUUAUUUCUUGACGUUACCCGAAAAAGAAGCACCGGCUAACUCCGUGCCAGCAGCCGCGGUAAUACGGAGGGUGCUAGCGUUAAUCAGAAUUACUGGGCGUAAAGAGCACGUAGGUGGUUUUUUUAAGUCAGAUGCGAAAUCCCUGGGCUUAACCUAGGAACUGCAUUUUGAAACUGAAAUACUAGAGUAUCGUAGAGGGAGGUAGAAUUCUAGGUGUAGCGGUGAAAUGCGUAGAUAUCUGGAGGAAUACCUGUGGCGAAAGCGGCCUCCUAAACGAAUACUGACACUGAGGUGCGAAAGCGUGGGGAGCAAACAGGGAUUAGAUACC